Homo sapiens (human) is the source of this 9025-nucleotide RNA transcript. It is a transcript of the gene named Bardet-Biedl syndrome 12, with no coding region annotated. Lineage: Eukaryota; Metazoa; Chordata; Mammalia; Primates; Hominidae. The transcript has 2 exons. The record is from RefSeq and is marked reviewed.
GUCCCUUUCCUGCGUUGCAAGUAAGGGAGCACAGUCCAUGUUCCGUCCAUCCUGGCCAGCUUUCUUGGGCCUUGAGGGAACAGCUCACAGUGAAUCCGGAUUCUGUUGUCCUUUGCUGCCUGUUGACUUACAGGAUCACUGUGACCUGACCAAGGACAAAGAAGAUCCCAACUUCCUUGGACCCUAGCUGGCGCCCAGAUGCCUGCAAUCAUCAUCAUCUCUUGAUCCAAACCACCUUUUCUUCCUCAUAUUCGCCUCCCAUAAAAACCCUCUUGCCAGGCAGGAAAAUAUAAGACGGUACUUUAGAAGUUAAGUUCUAAGCUAGUUCACCAUUUUCUCCGUUUUGCUGGCUUUAUGAAUAAGCCUGCUUUUUCUGCCACUAAUUCUUCUCUCUCAUGUUUGGCUUUUGAUCAGCCAAAGCUGGGUUCAGUUACAAAGAGCUUGCCCUGUUUCUUUGCCCUUAUCCCCAAACAUGGACACCUGACUCUCCAGGUAGAACUAAUUUGAGUCCAUUGGGCUCAUAAUCAUUGUGGUAGAUUGCAUAAUUGACUUCAAUUCCAAGCCAGCCAGGAACUUUCCCAUCAAGUCAGCCCCUUCCUGUGUCCACAGCCAUUUCAGUGAACCUUGCAAUUCUUCCCACUAACAAAGCAGAAUAUAUUUCUUCACACCUUAACUUUGGGUUCAGCCAUAUGACUUGGUUUGGGCAACUGAAGGAAGUGGAAAUGACAAAGUACCAUGAUGAGCUUAGGCCUUAAGAUGCCUUGAAUUUGCUUCAUGCCCUCUUGCACAUCUGCUCUCACCAUAAGAAGAACUUCUGCGAACAUUCUGUCCCCUCAGCCUAAGCACAAGAAUGAGCACAUUGGAAGCCAACCUGAGCCCAAAUCAUUGUGAGCAGCCAAGACUACCUGGAUACAUAACUUGAAAGGGUGCUGCCCAGAUAGCUCAGCCUCAAUCAGUCAGCCCUCAGACACGUGAGUCAUAUAAAUAGUUUUUAUUUUAAGCCACUGAAUUUUGGGGUAGGGCUUAAGGUACCAAAAGCUAAUUGAGGCCAGGUGCGGUGGCUCAUGCGUGUAAUCCUAGCACUUUGGGAGGCCAAGGUGGGAGGAUUAUUUGAGCCUAGGAGUUUCAGACCAGCCUUGGCAACACAGCAAAACCCUACCUCUACCAAAAACAAAACAAAAAAUUUCUAAAGCUAACUGAUAAAAUCAUUUAUCUAGUUCAGUGAAUAAGUGUGGUAGAAGUUAAAACAGAAAAAAAUGCUAUUAUUUCUAAAAUAAUUUCCCCUUGGACUGCAUUUGCUAAAUUAGCAAGUGAUUAAAUUAAUCCUAGUUUGUAUUAUUUGCUGAAAUGUGUGUGUUUCCUGGCAUAGCCUAAGAAGAAAAUGUAUCUACACUCUCAUUUUGUAGAACUCUGAGAGGACCAUCCAGUCAUUGCUGACAAAGCCCAGUCCUACAUAUCAUCAUAGUACAUGAGGGGCAUGUACAGUUAAUGUGAAAAAUAAGCUCAAUUGUCCUGAUAUGUUGCAGUCCAAAACUUCAUUUAUGAGUCAUUUAUUUAGAACUCAGAACACUCUUGCCCAUAGAAACAAUAUUAUAAUGUUUCCAGGCAAACAACAAAAACCCAUUUAACCCCAAAAUAUAACUGACUGAUAUCAGUAGUCAGUUGGGAGACGACUUCUUCCUCAUUGCUUGGAUUUCCUUCUCCCUUUAUGCUUUCUCUUCCUUGUUUGCCCUUUUCAGAGGAAGAGGAGGGCUAGUUGAUUAAAUUUUAUUGGGCCUCCUUUCCUAAGUGGGCAGAAUUGCUGUAUUGAAAGGCUGUGAGGACCUGCCACUAUCUUUCAGGUCUGUGUCCUCCCACACAACGUUUGUCUUCAUGGACUUGGAGUCUGCUCUGCACUUUCUCUCUCUCUGUCUCUCUCUGUCUCUUUCUCUCUCUCUUCCACCCUCCCUCCCUCUCCUUCCUUCCCAGACAUACCUGAGCCUAUGGUUCCCAUGAUUCAUAUUUGCAAAGAAAAUUCUACUGUAGUCUCAGGCCUAAGACGAAUUCUCCAUCUCAAAAUACUGAAAAUCCUUUAUUCAGGGAGUUGUGCAGAUUUUUAAUAAAUCAAUGCUUAAUGUCUCUCAUUUGGCUGGUGAUCUUUUGCUGGAUGCAGCAUCAGUUUGAAUGCUGGAGGGAUCAGGGGUAACCAGCAUUUAGAAUUCCUAAGACUCUUCUUGGGAGGCUGAGGCAAGAGGACUCCUUGAGCCCGGGAUUGCAAGACCAGCCUGAGUAACAUGGCAAGACCCCAUCUCAGAAAAGAAAAAAAAAUUCCUAAGACUCAUUCCUCUUCUGUUCAUGAUUUCUUUGGGAAAAAUUUUUCCUAUGUUCCAACUGUGGAAGACUGGAUACACCUUGAAUGCAACCUUCUUUCAUGUCUUCAAGGUAAGACUCUCAUUUCGCAAUGACUUAUCUUUUGGAAGAAUCUCUAGUUCUUUCAUGGAAAAGUAAUGGUCAUGUUUUGUUAGAAGAAAAGUUGAUUUUGAAGAAACUAAGGCAGUAGAAACCAUGUGCAUGUUCCAUUUCUUUGAAAAUUCCAUAAACGUGCAUUAACUUAUUCAGUUCAGAGCUCAGAGAUUAAACUUUUCUCUAACAUUGGGAUAUAAAUUUAUUCUGAUAUAAACUCUCAACAUUACCUUUCUGAGAUAAUUCUGAGGUUGUUCAGUAACAUCAAUUUUACUAACUUUUUUCCUCAGUUAAAACUUUAUAACUGUAUUCAUUUUGUCUCUCUCUCUCUCUCUUUUUUUUUUUUUUUUUUUUUUCAGAGAGAGAGAGAUGGGGCCUUGCUAUGUUGUCCAAGCUGUCCUCGAACUCAUGGGCUCAAGCAAUCCUCAUGUGGCUUAUCUCACAGUUUUAAAAACCAAAGUAUUCAAUAUAGACAUGUAGUCUCCCUGUUUAUCACUAGAAUUUUCUUUUUCAAUUCUGAAAGCAAUUUCCCUCCACAGUCUAUGUCUCACAUCCUAAAAGAGAUCAUGUAAAUUAUCAUUUGUUUCCCCACAAAUUUUAUAGUCAGCAAAAUACAUCAUUGAAACCAUGUAUCUUAACUAUAAAAAUUUAAUAAAAUUUUUUAAACUUUGAGAUUUUCCAGCCUUCCUUUAAUAUAACUGGUACUUAAAAAUGAAUAUAGAUCUAUAUAUCACAUCUUACAUAUAGUUCAAAUACUUUUUAAGACUUCACCUUCAGAUAAUAGUGGCUUGAACCAUGGGCUUACAAAUUGAGACCACCACGUGAAUCAAUUCUGUGUAUCUACUACCAAAACCACUUUUAAUAUUCUCUCAGAAAUGCAUGCUCUUACACGUUGUUGAGUGGCUCAGGGCUAACUGCCACUCACUCUGGGCCAAUGGAAGCCUCCACCCCUAGCCAGGCCAGUUGCACAGGUGCUGGCUCUUCUUAGAGGUAGGUAGAGAUGGGAGGCUCUGGUGCAGUAGAAGGCCGACUUCUCCUGUGUGGAAGAAGUUCCCCUGCUCUGCUGUGGGAGAGCAUAAGUGUUCUGAGAGAAGCAGGGGCAAGAGAGGAAAGGGGAAAACACUAGGAGAAUUUGAUCUUAGCUCCACGUACCCAAAGGCCAGAUACAUCACUGCCCCUGCCACAGUUACAUUCUCUUUAAAACACAUCAAGACACUCCUUUCCCUUCCUUCCUUCCUUCCUUCCUUCCUUCCUUUCUUUCUUUCUUUUCUCUCUUUCUCUCUUUUUUUUCUUUCCUUUUUUUUUUUUGUUUACAAGGUCCUGCUCUUUUGCCCAGGCUGGAGUACAGCGGGGCAAUCAUGGCUUACUGAAGCCUUGACCUCUCUGGCUCAAGUGAUCCUCCCACAUCAGCCUCCCGAGUAGCUGGGACCACAGGCACAGGCCACCAUACCUGGCUAAUUUUUCUAUUUUUAGUAGAGACAGCAUUUCACCAUAUUGCCCAAGCUGUCUUGAACUCCUGGGCUCAAGUGAUCCACCUGCCUCAGCAAGAUACCCCUUUCUUUGAAUUACAGAAAUGGGGAUGUGUCUGACCCUGAUCACUACUUUUGGCCACUUCAUGAGCUCUCCUAUGAGAGAGCUACCAGCUGUUAGGAGGCCAGGAAGGAGGGUCCCAGGUACAGGCCAAAAUCCCCUAGAGUCCCUGGACACCAGCAUACACACUUUCGAGAUGCCCACCCUCUUAAGCUUUGGAGGAGAUGGGGAUAACACCCUGGCCCUAGCACUGCUCAACUUUCACCUGACAUAUAUGGUAUAUUUCUUUUAGAAAUCAUAGCAAAAGUCAUAACAGUAGUAGUAAUUUAUAAAUCAUAGUAAAAUUUUUUUAAAUGUCUUCUAAAAUUUGGGAUGUAGUAUUAUAAAUAUAAAAAAACUGUCACUAACAGUAAAUUUCAAAUAUCUCAUCAUAAAAAAUGAUAGGUAAUCAAGGUGAUGGAUAUGUUAAUUAGCUUGAUUUAAUCAUUGCCACCUUCUAUACAAGCUGUAUAACAAAACAUCACAUUGUGCCCCGUACAUGUAUAAAAUUAUAAUUUGUCCAUUAAAAAUGAUAUUAAUAAUAAUUUUUAAAAAUCAUACAGCAAGUCAAAAAGCUGUCAAUUAAUAAAUAUGUUAAUAUUGAACUAAGGCUCAUUGUUAUAACUAUCAACGGUAUUAACGAACAAUGAUAAAGCAUGUAAAAUACUUUGUCCUUUGAGGUUACAAGGAUGAAAAAAGCAUGUGCCUAAGAAAGCAAAACAACACCAAGAAACUGAAGAUGCAAACGAUUUGUUUUAUGAGUGUCUGUGUAGACGUGUGUGUGUGUAUAUAUAUAUACUAAUAUACAUAUAAUAAUCAACAAAAACGUAACAUAGGGACGAUAUUACAAACAUACAAUUCCUUUUUAGUGUCUGAGCGCUAAAGAAAGGUAGAUCUUUAUGUUAACAUCUUGAUUGACAUAACUUUGAGGAAGAAUUUUGCCUAACUGCUUACAGGGUUUUGUGAUUUUGGUCCAUUUAUGUAGGAAAUUCCCUUCAGGACUUAUAAUGGCAGAGUUUACUCAGUGUUUCUAAAAAAUUAUUAGAAGUUAUGAGAAAUAAAGAAACUUGAUAAAUGAACACUAAGAAAUGAUAGAUGGGAGCUAAAAACAUAGACUACAGGACAACUAUGUUGCAAUAAUACAAAUUAGGGGUUUCACUCUUGCUGGAUAACUACCUUAAUUCUCUGUCUCACUCUGAUCCCCUAAUAAAGAAGUUUAUGAUGACAUGGAUUCUAAUAGGUUACUCAGUGACUUUGAAAGAAAUGUCUUAAUAAUGAUCAUAAUAAAAAGUGUCUCAAUUUAAUUGCUAGCUAUAAAAAUGAUGGAUUUUUGCAAUUACAUUUGUGCAUAUAUAUAUAUUCUUUCUUUUCUUUUCUUUUUUUGCAACAGAGUCUUGCUCUGUUGCCUAGGCUGGGUUGCAGUGGCGUGACCUUGGCUCACUGCAACCUCCACUUCCUGGGUUCAAGCUAUUCUCCUGCCUCAGCCUCCCGAGUAGCUGGGAUUACAGGCGUAUGCCACCACACCUGGCUAAUUUUUUGUAUUUUUAGUAGAGACGGGAUUUCACCACGUUGGCCAGGCUGGUCUCGAACUCCUAACCUCAACUGAUCCACCCCUCUCAGCCUCCCAAAGUGCUGGGAUUGCAGGCAUGAGGUACUGUGCCUGGCAAUACAUUCUUUUCAAAACUCUCAGAUCCUUUUUACAUAGCACAGCUGCUAUGAAAUAGAAAUUGAGAUGUGGCUGAAAAAAGCCAAACAGCUUGAUAUAUAAAAGUGCUCAAGUUUUUAUCAGUUUUCCUCUGAAGGCUGCAACAACCUUAAACCUAAAUCUUUUCAUGGAUAUUAUGUAUACUGCCUAACUGCGGCGUAGGCACAUCAUCCCUCUGCCCUCAGAGUGGGGGACAUUUUAGUGACUUCUUGAUUUUUCAUGCCAAAGGCGAUGGUAGGUUAUCCAAAAAAAUCUUAUUUGACCUUCCAAUGCAUAUUACAAUUGUAUUUGACUAUGAAAGAAAUGCUCUAAAAAUUCAGUCUUUGAAAUUAAAUAAUAAAGAUCUAAGGCAGGAGAAACUGGAAAGCCAUUCAACUUCCCGUGUUGACUCCUACUCAGGAAACUUUCUUUUCCCAAGAUAAUGCAGGGAAUCUGCAUAGCACAACUGGGGCAGUAUUUACUGGUCCAUUGCUCAGAGAGCCCCAUAAAUGUAAGGAAUUAUUCAUAUCCAGUUGCGCAUUUUAGCUGUUAAGUAUUUUUCCAGUUCUGCUGGGUUAGAGAGGUAUCGUGUUACAGUGGAAAGAAAAAGGCAUGGAUAGACUGACAGUUAUGGAAAGAAGACGGAGCAGGGGACAGUGAAGGGGAAAUGGAUUCGUUAUGACACACAAAUGUAAAAUUCCCUAGUCAAGAACAGUACAGCAUUUGUGCGUUUUUUUUUUUAAUACGUAAAGGUAUUGUUCAGUACUUUUCCAUUAAUUUUUCAAAGGUCUUGACCUCCUAAUGAAAAAUUUCUGACUAAAAGGGGUUUUCCUCACCACUCAGUUCCUUCUUCUGCUAGGUCCUACAGUGAAUCAAUAUCUCGUAUUUGGUCCUUCAGACAGUUGCCACGGAAAUGAGAGCUGCAAACACUUUCAGCUUUCUGGCUUCACUGUGGGAUCCAGCAUAGAACAUGAUUGAGCUGUCAGAGAACCUCCUGAAGGAAAGUUGUACCUGAUAAGUAAGAGUUUCCAGAAAAAUGGUGACACAUACAGGAAGAAAAAUAGAUUGUUUAACUCAGUCUGAAAAAUCCCUUUUGAUUCAUAAACUGUCUACAUGAUUGAAACAUACGAAACCAUCUCUUUCUCUAAGCAGAUUCUUCUCAAUUCACAUACAAGCACCUCAGGGGCAAAUAAAACUUCUCUGUGUAGGCAUGAGGAGGAAUCACUUUAGCAGAAGGAAAAUAAGGUGCUGUAGAAAUGAGAAAGUGCUGUAGAAAUGAGAACACAAAAUGCUAACCUGGAGGAGAGAGGGUGGCAGAGUGAGUGAAAGAGAGGGCAUCUGAUGCCGUUUAAAUCAUUUUUAAGGAAAACUAAACAUCCUGAUUGGAAAAAAAAAAAAAAAGGAAGUCACUGUGGAUGUCAAAGAACACACAGGCUUUCCACAACUGGAAUCACAGACAAUUUGGAGCUUGAUGGGCUCCACUGCAAUAGACUUGAAACUUCAUUUGUGUCAUUUGGUCCCAGCAAAUGGAACCUGGCUUUUCUGGGAAAGAAUUCCAGCUGCCAGUUUGAAUCCACUGAGUAGUUCUAUCCAGUGCCAAUUAUAAUCUUGAAAGAUGCAGUCCCCAAAUCCCCAAAAUCACAACUACAAAAGAUUAAAAUCCUGAAUGCUGAAUUCUGGGACAGGAUUAGUGUGUUUUCAUUGCAUGCUGGAUAGUUGUAUCAUGUUAGUUGUAUCAAGUUAGUCAAAACGAUUACCUUGCUGUCUUUAUUUGGAAAUUAAAUGUGGUUUAAGGAGAUGCAUAUGAAUGACAAAGGGUGGACUUGUGUACUGCCUACAAACCUGGUAAAGCAUUAUUUUGGAUGUGUCUGUAAGGGCUUUUUCAGAGGAGAUUAUUGUGUGAGUCUGAGUGGAUUAACCAGGUGUGGGGGAAUCUGCUAUCAAUGUUGAAGGACACCAUCCAAUCAGCUGAAGGCCAGGAGAGAGAAGAAACACAUAAGGCAAAUUGGUCUCUCUCUCAGAGCUGGGGUAGACCUUCUGCUGCCUUGGACACCAGAACUCCAGGUUCACCAGUCUUUGGACUCAGGACUUUGACCAGCAGUCUCCUAGGUGCUGAGGCUUCCAGCCAUGAACUAGGUUACAACCUCAGCUUUCCUGGUUCUGUGAACUUCAGACUUGGACUGAGCCAAGUCUCCAGCUUGCAGAUGGCCUGUUGUGGAACUUUUCAGCCUCCAUAAUUGUGUGAGCCCAUCCUACUGAUAAGGCUCCUUCCUCUAUCUAUACACAUAUCCUAUUGGUUCUGUCUCUCUGGAGAACCUUGACUAAAAUAGAUUUGAUAUUAAGGAAGCCAAAUGUCAUUCCUCCUUACUUUAUUACUUGCAGCAUAAUGGGAGAGAUCUGUGAAACUGUUCCCUCACAAAAGGCUAUGAUGGUCUAAGCAUAUGAGGCCUCUUAACAGUGAAAGAUAAAACUUUAAAAGCUAAUUACUAUUGGCAUUUUGAAAGCAGAAAAUCACUUAAUUGCAAUGGUUGAGCAAUAACCAGUCUUUCGAAUGGACUGCACAUACUUACAAAAUUUGUAGACCACAGUCACUCUUCAAGUACAAAUGCAGUGAGUGUUUCAAAAAUCAUAGAAGUGAAAAUGCAAACGAAAAAUACAGAAAUCUCCCCUGCCAAAUUAUUCAAUCAUAUAAGACUUCUGCCCUUUCACAUAUAGUGCCAAUUUCCUAUGCUACAUAUCUCAUCUUUGCUUCAUUUCCAAUACUGGAGGUAUAAGUUGUGUAAAGACUUCUGUAGAGUUCUAAUUUGUUUUAUGCAUUUUUUGCAAAUUUGACUCUAUGAAAGUGUGUUAUCGGAACGUUGACUUUGUGUGUAAGCACUGUGUGUGUGUAUGAAAAUAUCAAAACUUCCUUAAUAAAGAUGUCCUUUCUGUACAUCUGAAUUUGUGAAAGAUAAAAUAUCUCAAGAUGUCAGCUACUUGGGCAACUGCAUAUGUGGUGGUGACUCACUGUGGUUUUUGAUGGGUCUCAUUGAAACAUGCAGGUUGUCCAUCAUAGUAUUUCAGAUGACUGCAGUUAUAAAGCUGGGUGCACGCAGUUACCAAUCAUAGUGAUAUGUGUUUAUACAUUUCACUUUUCGACUUAUUUAUUAAUGAAUAUGGUUUGUCUGCUCAUAACUGUUAUAUAUAUGUGGCUAUCAUUAGAAUACUUGAGUGCUUAUGCUUGCGAAAAUGUGUAUGUUAUUAUUGCCUAUUUUAUGGUGUAAAGUGGCCAAUGAUGUGUUCUGUCAUGUUUUUAUAUGUUUCUCAAAUAAAUUCCCUUUAAAAUGUAAA